GAUGAACGCUGGCGGCGUGCCUAAUACAUGCAAGUCGAGCGAACGGACGAGAAGCUUGCUUCUCUGAUGUUAGCGGCGGACGGGUGAGUAACACGUGGAUAACCUACCUAUAAGACUGGGAUAACUUCGGGAAACCGGAGCUAAUACCGGAUGAUAUUUUGAACCGCAUGGUUCAAAAGUGAAAGACGGUCUUGCUGUCACUUAUAGAUGGAUCCGCGCUGCAUUAGCUAGUUGGUAAGGUAAUGGCUUACCAAGGCAACGAUGCAUAGCCGACCUGAGAGGGUGAUCGGCCACACUGGGACUGAGACACGGUCCAGACUCCUACGGGAGGCAGCAGUAGGGAAUCUUCCGCAAUGGGCGAAAGCCUGACGGAGCAACGCCGCGUGAGUGAUGAAGGUCUUCGGAUCGUAAAACUCUGUUAUUAGGGAAGAACAUAUGUGUAAGUAACUGUGCACAUCUUGACGGUACCUAAUCAGAAAGCCACGGCUAACUACGU
This 496-nucleotide ribosomal RNA is filed under the name uncultured bacterium. Its description in RNAcentral is "partial 16S ribosomal RNA". It matches the Rfam family "Bacterial small subunit ribosomal RNA", at positions 28 to 506 of the family's 1533-position model. The record is from RNAcentral.